This 395-nucleotide long non-coding RNA is filed under the name Gossypium barbadense (sea-island cotton). RNAcentral describes it as "long non-coding RNA (GBAR_LNC022104)". The record is from RNAcentral. Lineage: Eukaryota; Viridiplantae; Streptophyta; Magnoliopsida; Malvales; Malvaceae.
CCCAACGUCCUCCUCAACAACAAGGGGGAAGUGGAGGUUACUCGGGUGGACGAGGUUGGGCUCCACAAUCCCAGCAAGGAGGUCGGGGUGGUUAUGGCACUGGUGGUCGGGGUCGUGGAAUGCCACAACAGCAGUAUGGUGGAGGACCUCCUGAAUACCAAGGUAGAGGAAGGGGAGGUUCUUCUCAGCAAGGAGGUCGUGGGGGAUAUGGUGGCGGUCGAGGUAGUGGUGACCAUGGUGGAGGACCUUUUGCUGGUGGACCAUCCCGACCACCUGUUCCCGAGCUGCACCAAGCAACCCAACCUAUGCAAGUUGAGGUGAUCCGCCAGCCUGCUCCGUCUGAGGCAGGCUCAUCAUCCAGGCCACCACCAGAGCCUGUACCAUUGACCGAGCAU